AUUAUACCGUGAAACUGCGAAUGGCUCAUUAAAUCAGUUAUCGUUUAUUUGAUAGUACCUUACUACUUGGAUAACCGUGGUAAUUCUAGAGCUAAUACAUGCUAAAAACCCCAACUUCGGGAGGGGUGUAUUUAUUAGAUAAAAAACCAAUGCCCUUCGGGGCUACUUGGUGAUUCAUGAUAACUUCUCAGAUCGCAUAGCCUUGAGCUAGCGACGGUUCAUUCAAAUUUCUGCCCUAUCAACUUUCGAUGGUAAGGUAUUGGCUUACCAUGGUUUCAACGGGUAACGGGGAAUUAGGGUUCGAUUCCGGAGAGGGAGCCUGAGAAACGGCUACCACAUCCAAGGAAGGCAGCAGGCGCGCAAAUUACCCAAUUCCGAUACGGAGAGGUAGUGACAAUAAAUACUGAUACAGGGCUCUUUUGGGUCUUGUAAUUGGAAUGAGUACAAUUUAAACCUCUUAACGAGGAACAAUUGGAGGGCAAGUCUGGUGCCAGCAGCCGCGGUAAUUCCAGCUCCAAUAGCGUAUAUUAAAGUUGUUGCAGUUAAAAAGCUCGUAGUUGAACCUUUGGCCUGGCUGGCAGGUCCGCCUCACCGCGUGCACUUGACCGGCCGGGCCUUUUCUUCUGGAGAACCGCAUGCCCUUCACUGGGUGUGUUGGGGACCAGGACUUUUACUUUGAAAAAAUUAGAGUGUUCAAAGCAGGCCUUUGCUCGAAUACGUUAGCAUGGAAUAAUAGAAUAGGACGUGCGGUCCUAUUUUGUUGGUUUCUAGGACCGCCGUAAUGAUUAAUAGGGACAGUCGGGGGCAUCAGUAUUCAAUUGUCAGAGGUGAAAUUCUUGGAUUUAUUGAAGACUAACUACUGCGAAAGCAUUUGCCAAGGAUGUUUUCAUUAAUCAGUGAACGAAAGUUAGGGGAUCGAAGACGAUCAGAUACCGUCGUAGUCUUAACCAUAAACUAUGCCGACUAGGGAUCGGGCGGUG
Molecule: ribosomal RNA, 980 nt
Filed under: Montagnula jonesii
Lineage: Eukaryota; Fungi; Ascomycota; Dothideomycetes; Pleosporales; Didymosphaeriaceae
Description: SSU rRNA
Rfam family: Eukaryotic small subunit ribosomal RNA
Source: RNAcentral